RNAcentral lists this ribosomal RNA (569 nucleotides) under Trichoderma harzianum. RNAcentral's name for it is "eukaryotic LSU rRNA". The stretch from base 218 to 371 matches the Rfam family "5.8S ribosomal RNA". The record is from RNAcentral. Lineage: Eukaryota; Fungi; Ascomycota; Sordariomycetes; Hypocreales; Hypocreaceae.
AGCGGAGGGAUCAUUACCGAGUUUACAACUCCCAAACCCAAUGUGAACGUUACCAAACUGUUGCCUCGGCGGGAUCUCUGCCCCGGGUGCGUCGCAGCCCCGGACCAAGGCGCCCGCCGGAGGACCAACCAAAACUCUUAUUGUAUACCCCCUCGCGGGUUUUUUUAUAAUCUGAGCCUUCUCGGCGCCUCUCGUAGGCGUUUCGAAAAUGAAUCAAAACUUUCAACAACGGAUCUCUUGGUUCUGGCAUCGAUGAAGAACGCAGCGAAAUGCGAUAAGUAAUGUGAAUUGCAGAAUUCAGUGAAUCAUCGAAUCUUUGAACGCACAUUGCGCCCGCCAGUAUUCUGGCGGGCAUGCCUGUCCGAGCGUCAUUUCAACCCUCGAACCCCUCCGGGGGGUCGGCGUUGGGGAUCGGCCCUCCCUUAGCGGGUGGCCGUCUCCGAAAUACAGUGGCGGUCUCGCCGCAGCCUCUCCUGCGCAGUAGUUUGCACACUCGCAUCGGGAGCGCGGCGCGUCCACAGCCGUUAAACACCCAACUUCUGAAAUGUUGACCUCGGAUCAGGUAGGAA